Molecule: ribosomal RNA, 484 nt
Filed under: uncultured bacterium
Lineage: Bacteria
Description: partial 16S ribosomal RNA
Rfam family: Bacterial small subunit ribosomal RNA
Source: RNAcentral
AUUGAACGCUGGCGGCAGGCCUAACACAUGCAAGUCGAGCGGAUGAAGGGAGCUUGCUCCUGGAUUCAGCGGCGGACGGGUGAGUAAUGCCUAGGAAUCUGCCUGGUAGUGGGGGAUAACGUCCGGAAACGGGCGCUAAUACCGCAUACGUCCUGAGGGAGAAAGAGGGGGAUCUUCGGACCUCACGCUAUCAGAUGUGCCUAGGUCGGCUUAGCUAGUUGGUGGGGUAAAGGCCGACCACGGCGACGAGCCGUAUCUGGGCUGCGAGGAUGAUCAGUCACACUGGGACUGAGGGACGGUCCAGAAUCCUACGGGAGGCAGCAGUGGGGAAUAUUGGAGAAUGGGCGAAAGCCUGAUCCAGCCAUGCCGCGUGUGUGAAGAAGGUCUUCGGAUUGUAAAGCACUUUAAGUUGGGAGGAAGGGCAGUAAGUUAAUACAUUGCUGUUUUGACGUUACCAACAGAAUAAGCACCGGCUAACUUCGUG